This is a long non-coding RNA of Gossypium arboreum, 1015 nucleotides long. RefSeq lists it as uncharacterized. Lineage: Eukaryota; Viridiplantae; Streptophyta; Magnoliopsida; Malvales; Malvaceae. The record is from RefSeq and is a predicted model, not a curated record. The transcript is spliced from 2 exons.
GACGUUACAAUGACAAACGACAUCGUGAUGACACAAAUGUGGAUUGAUCUUGGUUUGGGCUGCAAUCGACCCUUUCAGGGAUGGCAUUAACAAAUUUAGAUAUCGAAAAGUUCAGUGGUAUCAAAGAUUUCAGAUUGUAGUAGUUCCGGAUAAAGCAGAGUGUUUAAAGCAAGGUUGGUCGCAAAGGGUGACAGUCAAGUGGAGGGAGUUAAUUUUCUCGAUGUUUUCUAUCUUGUUGUGAAGCACGUCUGUUCGUGUAUCAGUGGCCCUAGUUGCAUUAUACAACCUUGAUUUGAAGACUAGGAGUCUUUCGAUUUCCAAGUUCAAGAAUGGUUUGGGUUUCGUUAACAUUCUUCAAAGAUCGAGUUCGGCUCGUGACGAGGCAUGGAGAAGAAGGUAUAGUAAAUACGAGUCAAGGUGGAUAUUUGUGAGUUGUACCUCGUAUUUUCGGUCGAAUAGACAGUGACAUCAUGACGAGAAGCCUCUCGACGUUGAGAUGAUGGAAGACGUCGUAACGACACAAAUGGAGACGUUGCAACGUGGCAACUUGUUCCCCACAUAAAUCGGGUUUCUUCUCCAAUUAAACUAUGUUAUCUUUUUCCAAUUAAACUCUAAUUACUUCAUGGAUAUUUUAGUCUGAUUAGACGACUAAUCUUUACCUAUAAAAGCGGUCAUUGUAUCCCUGUUUAAAAGGCAAAUUAAGAGGCAAUAAAAUAUGUAGAAGUAUAGGGCCUUUCUUUUGGGGGCAACAAGAUGUAGUCGUAGAUAAGUUUUGGUGAGAGUUUUCGUGGUAACUAUGGAGAAAAUUUUGUAUCCCUUUUGAAAGGACUCUAUGAAAGUAAAGGUUUUGUUUUUGAGUUUGCUCUAUGAAAGUUAGGGCUUUAUUUUUGGGGCUUUAGGUUUAUACGUUUAGUACAUUUAAGUUUAUGUUCUCCAUAUUGUACUCUCAUUUGUUUACUUUUUUAGUGAAAAGUUGAAACCUUCUUUAAUCGUGGUUUUUAUCCUUUUCAAAGAA